CAGGCUGUAGUGCAGCGGGCUAAGCGCAGGUGGCGCAAAGCACAAGGACCGGCAUAAGGAUCCCGGUUCGAACCCCGGCUCCCCACCUGCAGGGGAGUCGCUUCACAGGCGGUGAAGCAGGUCUGCAGGUGUCUUUCUCUCCUCCUCUCUGUCUUCCCCUCCUCUCUGCAUUUCUCUCUGUCCUAUCCAACAAUGAAUAGCAUCAACAAUGGCAAUAAUAAUAACCACAACGAGGCUACAACAACAAGGGCAACAAAAGGGGGGGAAA
Long non-coding RNA from Erinaceus europaeus (western European hedgehog), 268 nucleotides. RefSeq lists it as uncharacterized. The transcript is spliced from 2 exons. The record is from RefSeq and is a predicted model, not a curated record. Lineage: Eukaryota; Metazoa; Chordata; Mammalia; Eulipotyphla; Erinaceidae.